ACAUCCAGAGAAUUUAGCAGAGAUGCUUUAGUGCCUUCGGGAACUCUGAGACAGGUGCUGCAUGGCUGUCGUCAGCUCGUGUUGUGAAAUGUUGGGUUAAGUCCCGNAACGAGCGCAACCCUUAUCCUUUGUUGCCAGCGCGUAAUGGCGGGAACUCAAAGGAGACUGCCGGUGAUAAACCGGAGGAAGGUGGGGAUGACGUCAAGUCAUCAUGGCCCUUACGAGUAGGGCUACACACGUGCUACAAUGGCGCAUACAAAGAGAAGCGACCUCGCGAGAGCAAGCGGACCUCAUAAAGUGCGUCGUAGUCCGGAUUGGAGUCUGCAACUCGACUCCAUGAAGUCGGAAUCGCUAGUAAUCGUAAAUCAGAAUGUUACGGUGAAUACGUUCCCGGGCCUUGUACACACCGCCCGUCACACCAUGGGAGUGGGUUGCAAAAGAAGUAGAUAGCUUAACCUUCGGGAGGGCGUUUACCACUUUGUGAUUCAUGACUGGGGUGAAGUCGUAACAAGGUAGGCGUAGCGAG
Molecule: ribosomal RNA, 526 nt
Filed under: uncultured bacterium
Lineage: Bacteria
Description: bacterial SSU rRNA
Rfam family: Bacterial small subunit ribosomal RNA
Source: RNAcentral